UACAGAGGGGGCAAGCGUUAUUCGGAAUUAUUGGGCGUAAAGGGCGCGUAGGCGGCUUGGCAAGUGGAUGGUGAAAUCCCUCGGCUUAACCGGGGAACUGCGUCUGAUACUGGAUGGCUUGAGGUUGGGAGAGGGAUGCGGAAUUCCAGGUGUAGCGGUGAAAUGCGUAGAUAUCUGGAGGAACACCGGUGGCGAAGGCGGCAUCCUGGACCAAUUCUGACACUGAGGAGCGAAAGCCAGGGGAGCAAACGGG
This 253-nucleotide ribosomal RNA is filed under the name uncultured bacterium. RNAcentral describes it as "partial 16S ribosomal RNA". It matches the Rfam family "Bacterial small subunit ribosomal RNA", at positions 524 to 776 of the family's 1533-position model. The record is from RNAcentral.